UUUACAACGCUGUAUGUAGCUGGUUGACAUCGGGUCAGAUCUGUUAUUCUGAAGCAUUUGGUCCCCUUCAACCAGCUGUAGCAGUGCUUGAUG
Drosophila busckii is the source of this 93-nucleotide non-coding RNA. The record is from Rfam. NCBI's taxonomy places the organism in Eukaryota, Metazoa, Arthropoda, Insecta, Diptera, Drosophilidae.